UAACAAAAAAAUCUUCUUACUUACUCCUCUAUUCAAAUGUUCCAACAUUCAGACAUAACAAAAAAAUCUUCUUACUUACUCCUCUAUUCAAAUGUUCCAACAACACUCUCUGUUUUCUUCUUGUGAUGAUCUGUUCUGCUUUACUACUCUCAAGCUUAUCCCUGAUUUUCUCAUUCACCGAGCCAUAUAUAAGAGACAUCUCACCCUGUAAGUUUACGAAGAAGAACACGCUAACUCGAAUGGAGUGUGUAAAAUGGGAAGGUGAUCCACUCACUCACAUUCAAAUUGUUUGAAGGUCCAGGCGGUGUAAUGACAGAGUCUUUGGGAAUGCCAUACUUUGAUUGAGAGUAUGAUGUGUGACGAUUGCUUGCAAGAGAUGUGAAGUGUGUGUGACGUAUGUAUUUGUAAAAUAUGUGUAUAUGUACUUUGUUGUAUAGAUGAAUGUGUUGGAUGUGGAGGUAUAGAUGAAUGAUAGGGUGUGCAUGUGGAUGUUGACGGUAUAGAUGAAUGUUUAGGGUGUGGGUGAGUGUGUAUAGAUGAGAUAAAUGUAUAUAGGGUGUAUUAUAUAUAGAUGAGAUAUUAUUAUGAUGUGCAUGUGGAUGCCAUAGAUGAAUGUUUAGGGUAUAGGUGUGUAUAGAUGAGAUAAAUGUAUAUAGGGGUAUGUCGUGAUUCGUGAUAAUAUAUAGGGUGUGAAAAUGCGGAUGGUAUAGAUGAAUGUGUAGGGUGAGCCGGUGAGCCGGUGGGUGUAUAUUGUAAGAUGAAAUGAUAUCGCGCAUCAAACGAAAA
Long non-coding RNA from Camelina sativa (false flax), 786 nucleotides. RefSeq lists it as uncharacterized. The record is from RefSeq and is a predicted model, not a curated record. NCBI's taxonomy places the organism in Eukaryota, Viridiplantae, Streptophyta, Magnoliopsida, Brassicales, Brassicaceae.